GGUAGCAUAAUCACUUGUUUCUUAAUUAGAGGCUGGAAUGAAGGAGGCGACGAAAGCUAGACUAUCAAGAUUUUAGUGUAAGUUGACAAUCGGGUUAAAAGGCCCGGGUGAACCGGGGGGACGACAAGACCCUAUAAAACUUUACUUUUAGCGCGGGGCUAAGCGGGAGUGGCUUUUGUGCCUAAUGGUUUUGCUGGGGCGGCGCAGAUACAAACAAUUUGAGGUUUAAUAUGUUAAAUAAUGAGGCAGAACUCGUAGAGAAAUAGAAUAAGUUACUUUAGGGAUAACAGCGUAAUUGCCCUAGAGAGUCCUUAUCGACAGGGCAG
RNAcentral lists this ribosomal RNA (326 nucleotides) under Proasellus sp. n. Boreon. Its description in RNAcentral is "partial 16S ribosomal RNA". It matches the Rfam family "Archaeal large subunit ribosomal RNA", at positions 2032 to 2585 of the family's 2987-position model. The record is from RNAcentral. Lineage: Eukaryota; Metazoa; Arthropoda; Malacostraca; Isopoda; Asellidae.